AUUAAACGCUGGCGGCAUGCCUUACACAUGCAAGUCGAACGGCAGCACGGGGGCAACCCUGGUGGCGAGUGGCGAACGGGUGAGUAAAGCAUCGGAACGUGCCCUGGAGUGGGGGAUAACGUAGCGAAAGUUACGCUAAUACCGCAUAUUCUGUGAGCAGGAAAGCAGGGGAUCGCAAGACCUUGCGUUCUGGGAGCGGCCGAUGUCGGAUUAGCUAGUUGGUGGGGUAAAGGCCUACCAAGGCGACGAUCCGUAGCGGGUCUGAGAGGAUGAUCCGCCACACUGGGACUGAGACACGGCCCAGACUCCUACGGGAGGCAGCAGUGGGGGAAUUUUGGACAAUGGGCGAAAGCCUGAUCCAGCCAUGCCGCGUGAGUGAAGAAGGCCUCGGUUGUAAGCUCUUCGGUGGG
Molecule: ribosomal RNA, 410 nt
Filed under: uncultured bacterium
Lineage: Bacteria
Description: bacterial SSU rRNA
Rfam family: Bacterial small subunit ribosomal RNA
Source: RNAcentral